Oncorhynchus tshawytscha (Chinook salmon) is the source of this 2826-nucleotide long non-coding RNA. The record is from Ensembl. NCBI's taxonomy places the organism in Eukaryota, Metazoa, Chordata, Actinopteri, Salmoniformes, Salmonidae.
GGUCAGGGCGUGAGUUGGGGUGGGCAGUCCAUGUUUGUGUUUCUAUGUUUUUUCUAUUUCUGUGUUUGGCUUGAUAUGGUUCUCAAUCUGAGGCAGCUGUUUAUCGUUGUCCCUGAUUGAGAACCAUAUUUAGGUAGCCUGGGUUUUCACUGUUGGUUUGUAGGUGUUUGUUUCCGUGUGUGUGUUUGUCGCCACACUGUACUUUUUCGGUUUGGUUAUUUCACGUAUUCAUUUAUUGUUUUUGUAUUUCAUAGUGUUCAGUGCUUUUCUUAUUAAAAUCGUCAUGAACACUUACAACGCUGCAUCUUGGUCCGAUCCUUACUCCUCUUCAGACGAAGAGGAGGAAAUCUGCCAUUACAGCAGCUUACAGAUCAUUGCACCUGUAUGUAGCCCAUCUGUAAAUAGCCCAUCCAACUACCUCAUCCCCAUAUUGUUAUUUAUUUAUAUUUUUUUAAAUUGCUCCUUUGCACCGCAGUAUCUCUACUUGCACAUUCAUCUUCUGCACAUCUCACUGUGAGUACAUGGAAUAUUCCUCAACUGCGUAUAUCAUAAAUUGCUAUUGCAAAUAGAAGUAUUAUGUUCAACAACUGAUAUUUUCAGAUAUUAUUUUGACAAACACACUUUGGUGUUUACAAUUCAUUCUCUAUUGUCAUUGAUUUGGUGGGCACUGUCAUCUGUGAUCUUUGUGAUAUGACUUUCUUUAAGCACGUACUGAUGAAACUGUCACUUCAUAUAUUUUUCUUAAAGUCUACAAACGCUCUACAUUUAUUCACUCUGUUAUAGAGUUGGAUCCUAUAUGCUACUUUUAUUAUUGUCCUGUAAAUGGUUCAGUGGCUAUAAUUUAGGCUGUGUAGAAUGGGGAAUAAAGGAAAUUACCUAUACUAAUAAAUUACUACUAGAUUAUAGUUAUAAGGAAAACAGCAUACAAAGUUGGCUUGUGUAUCCAUUUGCCUCUAACUAAUCAUAAUUCCAUUAUGUUUACAUAAAAAGAGAACACUUCAAAAUGAGAAGAUCCUGCCAUGGAAAAGAAGACUGGGUGGACAUAACGUGUAAAGGAGGGGAAAUAACUCAUAACAUGCAGCAGGACACCUUCAGCUGUGGGGUCUUUGUAAUAUGGCCAAGGAAGUUGCACAGAACUUCCCCAACAUCCCCUUCCAAAUUGAUAUGGAACCUUCAAAAGCACAUGGAGCAACUGCGGAAAGAAAUGGCUGAGGAUAGACAAAAAAUGUCUGAGUUCAACAAAGCCAACAACUGCUUCAUGUGGGCCACUGAUAAAGAACCUGGAUGUGGCCCAAAGACUGACUGGUAGGUUCACCAGCUGACCUAUAUCAAGACACCCAGGUUGACUGGAUUCCCCCUGUGAAGAUGAGUAAUGCUGCAGCAGCAUCAGUUUCUACUACUUCAUCUUUUUCCAGACAUGAAAGAAGACUCCCCUCAGUUAUAUGACAUGGUUGUCAUAUGCUGUGCUUUGGACAAUUUGAAUGAUUCUGUUGUGUCAAUUGAGUAGAGCACCUUGUCAUGACAAAAGUGCCCCCUUAAACUGUAUGAAUAUAAUGUAUUUGGAACGUUUCAAAGACUUGUUGAUAUUGUAAACAUACUGUACUUUAAGCCAUAUUGUUGUCCAAGUGUAAAGACAAGUAUUUUGUCAUCUUUGCUUUGCCUAGCCCCAUUGAAUAAAAAGUAUUUCUUAUGGCCCAACUAUUGCCAUGUUCCUUGCUUUUCAGAAACGUGGUUCUCAAACAAGGUGCACCCCAUGGCUAUCCAACUCGAUGGAUUCUUCUUUCACCAGGCAGACAGGAUAGUGGAGUUGGUUCCGGUCAUUUUAAUUUGGCGUCACUAAAUCAAAAAGAUAUAUAAUUCACAUGCGCCAAAUACAACAGGUAUAGAUAGACCUUACAGUGAAAUGCUUACUUACAAGCCCUUAGCCAACAAUGCAGUUAGGAAAAAUAAGUGUUAAAGUAUUUACUGAAAUAAACUGAAGAAAAUAAUGAAUAAAAAAAUUGGUGCAACAAUAAAAUAACAUUAGUCAAGGUAAUAUGUACAUGUAGGUAGAGGUAAAGUGACUAUGUUUGUAUAAUAAACAGAGUAGCAGAAAAAGUUUGGCAUGGGCUCUCAAAUCCUGAAAAGGUUCUACAACUGUACCUUUGAGAGCAUAUGGACUGGCUGCAUCACUGCUUGGUAUAGCAAUAGCAUCGCCCUCGAUCGCAUGGCGCUACAGAGGGUUGUAUGGGCAGCCCAGUACAUCACUGAGGCCGAGCUCCCUGCCAUCCUGGACCUCCAUAUCAGGUGAAAGACCCCAACCACCCAUGCCAUAGAUUCUCUGCUGCAGCACAGCAAGAGCUUGAACAGCUUCUAUCCCCAAGCAAUACGACUGAUAAUUAGCUAACAAAAUUGCUACACGGACCAAGUUUACCUUGCAUCUUUAUUGACCUUUUAUUUCAGUGUUUUACACCGUCUAUGCACACUCACAGGGCCCUACACACUGUCACUCCAAAACAAACACUCCAUUUUCUCACUCACACAUAAUAUGCACAUACAUUUAUACAAGCUACACACCCACACGCUGCUGUUACUCUGUUUAUCUUAUAUCCUGUUGCCUAAUCACCUUACCCCUAUACAUAUCUACCUCUAUCACCCCAGUAUCCCUGCACAUGUAAAUAUGGUAUUGGAACAAACUUUUUAAAUAUUUCCUGUAUAUAGUAUGUUUGUUUACUUUAUUGUGUAUUUCAUAUUUCUUGUGUGCUUUUUUCUAGAAAUACAUUUGAUUAUUGCAUUGCUGGUUUUUGAGUUUGCAUUAAAGGCAUUUUACUGUGCAUGUGACAUUAA